UGGGGAAUAUUGGACAAUGGGCGAAAGCCUGAUCCAGCCAUGCCGCGUGUGUGAAGAAGGUCUUCGGAUUGUAAAGCACUUUAAGUUGGGAGGAAGGGCAGUAAGCGAAUACCUUGCUGUUUUGACGUUACCGACAGAAUAAGCACCGGCUAACUCUGUGCCAGCAGCCGCGGUAAUACAGAGGGUGCAAGCGUUAAUCGGAAUUACUGGGCGUAAAGCGCGCGUAGGUGGUUCGUUAAGUUGAAUGUGAAAGCCCCGGGCUCAACCUGGGAACUGCAUCCAAAACUGGCGAGCUAGAGUAGGGCAGAGGGUGGUGGAAUUUCCUGUGUAGCGGUGAAAUGCGUAGAUAUAGGAAGGAACACCAGUGGCGAAGGCGACCACCUGGGCUCGUACUGACACUGAGGUGCGAAAGCGUGGGGAGCAAACAGG
This 429-nucleotide ribosomal RNA is filed under the name Pseudomonadota bacterium. RNAcentral describes it as "Proteobacteria bacterium partial 16S ribosomal RNA". It matches the Rfam family "Bacterial small subunit ribosomal RNA", at positions 355 to 776 of the family's 1533-position model. Lineage: Bacteria; Pseudomonadati; Pseudomonadota. The record is from RNAcentral.